CCUACGGGAGGCAGCAGUGAGGAAUAUUGGUCAAUGGACGCAAGGCUGAACCAGCCAUGCCGCGUGCAGGAAGACGGCUCUAUGAGUUGUAAACUGCUUUUGUACGAGGGUAAACGCAGAUACGCGUAUCUGUCUGAAAGUAUCGUACGAAUAAGGAUCGGCUAACUCCGUGCCAGCAGCCGCGGUAAUACGGAGGAUUCAAGCGUUAUCCGGAUUUAUUGGGUUUAAAGGGUGCGUAGGCGGUCGGAUAAGUUAGAGGUGAAAUCCCGAGGCUCAACUUCGGAAUUGCCUCUGAUACUGUUCGGCUAGAGAGUAGUUGCGGUAGGCGGAAUGUAUGGUGUAGCGGUGAAAUGCUUAGAGAUCAUGCAGAACACCGAUUGCGAAGGCAGCUUACCAAGCUACUUCUGACGUUGAGGCACGAAAGCGUGGGGAGCAAACAGGAUUAGAUACCCCUGUAGUC
RNAcentral lists this ribosomal RNA (460 nucleotides) under uncultured bacterium. RNAcentral describes it as "partial 16S ribosomal RNA". It matches the Rfam family "Bacterial small subunit ribosomal RNA", at positions 338 to 795 of the family's 1533-position model. The record is from RNAcentral.